Molecule: small nuclear RNA, 107 nt
Organism: Colobus angolensis palliatus
Lineage: Eukaryota; Metazoa; Chordata; Mammalia; Primates; Cercopithecidae
Source: Ensembl
AUGCUCAUUUCGGCAGCACAUAUACUAAAAUUAGAAUGAUACAGAGAAGAUUAGCACAGCCCCUGUGCAAGGAUGACAUGGAAAUUUGUGAAGCAUUCCAUAUAACU